Molecule: long non-coding RNA, 353 nt
Filed under: Marmota monax (woodchuck)
Lineage: Eukaryota; Metazoa; Chordata; Mammalia; Rodentia; Sciuridae
Source: RNAcentral
CAUGGAAUUGAGGUUGUUUUUUUUUUUUUAAUUGUGACGUGGAACUGGUGACUUAUAUGUAUAAGAUUUUAGUUUAGUUCAUUGAUAUUUAAAAAUUUGGAUUCUUUUCAGAAAGGCAAGAUAUACUAUAACAAUGAGAAGUGCUUUUAGGUAAGACUUUCUGGGUUUGAAUCUCAUCUCAGAAGGUCCAGUGUAAGAAGGUGGCGGAAGGCAGGGCAGGACAUCCAUUACUGAGGAAGAAGUGCUCAUCCACAGCAGACACUGGUAAGCCACGGAUACAAAUUUUCCUCUGCUGCCACGCCACCGAGGGAAAUUUCUGAGGCUGCCACCAACUCUAGAACUGGCUUGUCCAG